GAAAUUUUGAGGGAAGCAUGAUAGAAAUCUUCUAUUAAUACAGUAUUUUUGUUCAGAUGGUUUCUAAUUGCUGUGCAAAAUGUCUGUAGUUAUAUAAGAGAUGUUAGUAAUUGGUAGAAAGAAAUUAAUUUGUUUUCAGAAAGGAAUGAGAAAUACCUGUUAUGUAACAGUAGUAAAAGUUAACUAGGGACUGGAAAGACAACGAGGGGUUGAGUCCAGCUCUCAGUAUUGUUCUGUGUCUUGGAACUGCAGGUUUUCCACAAAAGAAAAUUUGGUUGUGUCAAGAGAUAAGAAUAAACCUCCUCUUCAAAAAUGCAGAGGAAAAUUACAGCACUUGUGAAAGGGAAAAUUUGGUUAUAAGAGCAAAAUAAACAGAAGAGAAAGACCUACAUCCAUAUGGCUGAUUCAUUCCUGCUGAGUCCACUUGUUGGAUUAGUUGCAAAUAUUUAAGCAUUUACCAUUCAAUAUAAAAACACUACAGAGCUUAACCAUUAUAACCACUGUACCACUCACUAUUUGGAAUUACCUGUGUUACCCUUGCAAUGACAAGAAAUGCCAAUAAAAGAUAAUACAGA
This 575-nucleotide long non-coding RNA is filed under the name Phasianus colchicus (ring-necked pheasant). RNAcentral describes it as "lncRNA (ENSPCLG00000020843.1)". Lineage: Eukaryota; Metazoa; Chordata; Aves; Galliformes; Phasianidae. The record is from RNAcentral.